Molecule: long non-coding RNA, 315 nt
Organism: Ahaetulla prasina
Lineage: Eukaryota; Metazoa; Chordata; Lepidosauria; Squamata; Colubridae
Exons: 4
Source: RefSeq, a predicted model, not a curated record
CUACCGUUCUCUCUCCUUGCUUAGAUUGAAAUGAGUUGAUGAGAUGCCAGCCAAAGGAAAAGUAAACCUCAAGUCACAUCUAGGUUUAUGUGUGAAGGAGAGAGUUAAGAGAGCUUGAAACCUGCAUACAGAGAAACUGAGUUUCAAAGAUGAAUAUAUACACUGGGGAUCAUGGAAUGAACUAGAAGAAUCUGUUUUCUUGUUCUGAAGUUGGUGAAAUGCACUGUUCAUGUAUCCAGAUGCAAGAGUCCCAAGACUGAAGUUGCCAAGAACAAAAAGGAGGAUGAACAAAUGAACUGCCAAAUAAUACUGAGA